Long non-coding RNA from Pteropus alecto (black flying fox), 1364 nucleotides. RefSeq lists it as uncharacterized. The record is from RefSeq and is a predicted model, not a curated record. The transcript is spliced from 4 exons. NCBI's taxonomy places the organism in Eukaryota, Metazoa, Chordata, Mammalia, Chiroptera, Pteropodidae.
GGAAGCGGCCCCCUCAGACACGUGGGACUCCCAAACCGCUCUGGCUGGGGAGGACCGUGGCCCGGUUCCAGUGGCUGGCGAAGUGGCUUCGGGGCUGGCUUGUGAAUCGUGGGUGUCUCCCACUGCGUGAGCACCCCUGCUGGUCUCUGCACGGGCCCCCGGAGCUGGGGUUUGGCUGAGGUUUUCCGGGGCUGAUAAUCAUCUCCUCCCCCCAUCGAAGUUUAUCUUAACGACUACCGAGAUACCCUACAUUUCUGAAGAGCCUCUGUGCCAGCUGCUUUUCUAAGUGCUUCACACCUUUGAACUGACAAUGUCUGCUGUUCCAGGCAGACGGGAAGGUGGUUCCCAUUUUCCAGUGUGACUGAGAGAAAGAGGAGGCAGGUGGAUGGAGACCGAAGCGGCCUUUUUAUUACCCAAGAGAGGAUGUCACAGACCACGCUUGGCCCUGCCAGGUUUCCUCGCCAAGUGGACUUGCCAAUUCUCCCCUAAAGCCGCCUGCAUGGGGAGCAGGGCACGGCAUGCAGAGGGCAGCCCGUCCCUUCUCCCAAACGCGCUGGCCGGGGAAGCCGCCCCUCUCUUGGGAAACGGACAAGCGCGACGGAGAGAGGUCCAGGAUCUCCACGGGGAGAUGCCGCCCCCAGCAGCGGCGAAGGAGCGAUGCUCUGGCAGGAGAGUGCUCCGAGAGAGAAGCUGUCUAACAGAGGAGCUCCGAGCAGGCCGGGGGGAGGACCCAGACGGCACGUGCAAAGGUCCCGUGGCAGAAAGAGGCUGGUCUGCUCCAGAGUACGGCCUGAGUGGCAGACAGUGACAAUCACAGAGAGCGGUGGACGAAGAAAGUCAGUGGCCAUUUCUGCAUUUUCCUAUGGGUCACCUGAGCGUAGCAAGAAGAAGAUGAAUCAGUUUCUCUACACCUUUCCCAAGAGAACCCGCAACCAUAACGCGGGUUAGGUUGGUUAUUUCCGUACUGAGCCGUUUACGGUACCGACGCUUCAUGCCCGACUCCCCGACGCCUCCUGGGAGCCGCGUGUCUGCGCCAAAGGAAGCGGCGUGACCGAAAGCAUAGGAUGAAAGCACAGGAUGCGGUUAACAGGUCUCCAAACUCCUCCUUUCGCUUUCCAUCCGGCCUGACCCCCCUAGGAAGCGCCUUCGUCAGUCCUUGGGCUCGUGUGGACAGAGGGCUUCUGCGCGCAGACUCAGACCCGGGCAGCAGGUGCCUCGGGGUGCGGGUGGCCGGAAGUGGGGGACCACCGAAGGCGGGAGCAUCAGGCCGGUUCUCUGAGGCAAAGACAGACCUCAAGCCCGCGAAGAGCUGGGAAAGGGCGGUCGGGGGAAGGACACGGGAGGCCCACAGAACGUAAGGAAAA